Molecule: ribosomal RNA, 272 nt
Filed under: Bacillus sp. (in: firmicutes)
Lineage: Bacteria; Bacillati; Bacillota; Bacilli; Caryophanales; Bacillaceae
Description: Bacillus sp. (in: Bacteria) partial 16S ribosomal RNA
Rfam family: Bacterial small subunit ribosomal RNA
Source: RNAcentral
CCAAGAGGAGGCCAUCCGCUGUCGGAUAUUGGGCGUAAGGGCUCGCAGGCGGUUUCUUAAGUCUGAUGUGAAAGCCCCCGGCUCAACCGGGGAGGGUCAUUGGAAACUGGGGAACUUGAGUGCAGAAGAGGAGAGUGGAAUUCCACGUGUAGCGGUGAAAUGCGUAGAGAUGUGGAGGAACACCAGUGGCGAAGGCGACUCUCUGGUCUGUAACUGACGCUGAGGAGCGAAAGCGUGGGGAGCGAACAGGAUUAGAUACCCCCGUAGUCCCA